AGCGGCGGACGGGUGAGUAACGCGUGGGUAACCUGCCUCAUACGAGGGGAUAACAGUUGGAAACGGCUGCUAAUACCGCAUAAGCGCACAGUACCGCAUGGUACCGUGUGAAAAACUCCGGUGGUAUGAGAUGGACCCGCGUCUGAUUAGCUAGUUGGUGGGGUAACGGCCUACCAAGGCGACGAUCAGUAGCCGACCUGAGAGGGUGACCGGCCACAUUGGGACUGAGACACGGCCCAA
This 240-nucleotide ribosomal RNA is filed under the name uncultured bacterium. RNAcentral describes it as "partial 16S ribosomal RNA". It matches the Rfam family "Bacterial small subunit ribosomal RNA", at positions 94 to 334 of the family's 1533-position model. The record is from RNAcentral.